This 403-nucleotide RNase P RNA is filed under the name Marinivivus vitaminiproducens. RNAcentral describes it as "Geminicoccaceae bacterium SCSIO 64248 RNase P RNA component class A". It matches the Rfam family "Bacterial RNase P class A". Rfam says of the family: Ribonuclease P (RNase P) is a ubiquitous endoribonuclease, found in archaea, bacteria and eukarya as well as chloroplasts and mitochondria. Its best characterised activity is the generation of mature 5'-ends of tRNAs by cleaving the 5'-leader elements of precursor-tRNAs. Cellular RNase Ps are ribonucleoproteins. The record is from RNAcentral. Lineage: Bacteria; Pseudomonadati; Pseudomonadota; Alphaproteobacteria; Geminicoccales; Geminicoccaceae.
UCGGUCGGCCGGAUGGCCGCUGUCGUCCUGAGGACGAUGGAGGAAAGUCCGGGCUCCACGGAGACACGGUGCCGGGUAACGCCCGGCGGGGGCAACCCCAGGGAAAGUGCCACAGAGAGCAGACCGCCCGCCGGGACCGGCUUCGGCCGGUCUGCGGGUAAGGGUGAAAGGGUGCGGUAAGAGCGCACCGCGCUGCCGGCAACGGCGGCGGCACGGCAAACCCCACCGGGAGCAAGACCAAAUAGGGGCGGCGCGUCGGAGCUCCGGCUCCGACAGGCUCGUCUCCGGGCCAGCCGUCCGGGUCGGUCGCGCGAGGCGUCCGGCAACGGGCGUCCCAGAGGAAUGGCCAUCCCCCGAGCUUCGUGCGAGGGGACAGAACCCGGCUUACAGGCCGGCCGACGCC